UUCUAUGGCGGGCGGUACGUGGGGGCCGCAAGGCCCGCCGGUUCCUUGAGUCCGGUAAGGCUAACCCGUGCCGUCCGCCACCUCC
Molecule: non-coding RNA, 85 nt
Filed under: Xanthomonas phaseoli pv. phaseoli
Lineage: Bacteria; Pseudomonadati; Pseudomonadota; Gammaproteobacteria; Lysobacterales; Lysobacteraceae
Also listed under: 1 other name
Source: RNAcentral